This 1116-nucleotide ribosomal RNA is filed under the name uncultured Alphaproteobacteria bacterium. Its description in RNAcentral is "bacterial SSU rRNA". It matches the Rfam family "Bacterial small subunit ribosomal RNA", at positions 55 to 1222 of the family's 1533-position model. The record is from RNAcentral. Lineage: Bacteria; Pseudomonadati; Pseudomonadota; Alphaproteobacteria.
AUGCAAGUCGAACGAACUCUUCGGAGUUAGUGGCGCACGGGUGAGUAACGCGUGGGAAUAUGCCCUUUGGUGCGGAACAACAGUUGGAAACGACUGCUAAUACCGCAUAAUAUCUACGGAUCAAAGAUUUAUCGCCAAAGGAUUAGCCCGCGUCUGAUUAGGUAGUUGGUAGGGUAAAGGCCUACCAAGCCGACGAUCAGUAGAUGGUUUGAGAGGAUGAUCAUCCACACUGGUACUGAGACACGGACCAGACUCCUACGGGAGGCAGCAGUGAGGAAUAUUAGACAAUGGGCGCAAGCCUGAUCUAGCCAUGCCGCGUGAGUGAAGAAGGCCUUCGGGUUGUAAAGCUCUUUCAGAUGUGAGGAUAAUGACAGUAGCAUCAGAAGAAGCCCCGGCUAAAUUCGUGCCAGCAGCCGCGGUAAUACGAAUGGGGCAAGCGUUGUUCGGAAUCACUGGGCGUAAAGCGUACGUAGGCGGCUUUUCAAGUCAGGAGUGAAAUCCCAGGGCUCAACCCUGGAACUGCUCUUGAAACUGGAUCGCUAGAGUCCCGGAGAGGUUGGCGGAAUUCCGAGUGUAGAGGUGAAAUUCGCAGAUAUUCGGAGGAACACCAGUGGCGAAGGCGGCCAACUGGACGGGAACUGACGCUCAGGUACGAAAGCGUGGGGAGCAAACAGGAUUAGAUACCCUGGUAGUCCACGCCGUAAACGAUGUGUGCUAGUUGUUGGGCAUCAUAGAUGUUCAGUGACACAGCUAACGCGUUAAGCACACCGCCUGGGGAGUACGGUCGCAAGAUUAAAACUCAAAGGAAUUGACGGGGACCCGCACAAGCGGUGGAGCAUGUUGUUUAAUUCGAAGCAACGCGAAGAACCCUUACCUACCCUUGACAUACUUGUCGCACUUACCAGAGAUGGUUUGUUUCAGUUCGGCUGACAAUGUACAGGUGCUGCAUGACUGUCGUCAGCUCGUGUCGUGAGAUGUGGGUUAAGUCCCGCACGAGCGCAACCCUUAUCGUCUGUUGCAGCACGUAUGUGGACUCUGACGAGACUGCGGUGAUAAGUCGAAGAAGCCGGGAAUGACGUCAGGUCAUCAUGGCCUUAACGGUAGGCUAACAAACCG